AUACGGAGGGUGCAAGCGUUAUCCGGAAUCACUGGGCGUAAAGGACGCGUAGGCGGGUUGGCAAGUCAGAUGUGAAAUCCUACAGCUUAACUGUAGAACUGCAUUUGAAACUGCUAACCUAGAGUAUGGGAGGGGGAGAUGGAAUUAGUGGUGUAGGGGUAAAAUCCGUAGAUAUCACUAGGAAUACCGAAAGCGAAGGCGAUCUCCUGGAACAUAACUGACGCUAAGGCGUGAAAGCGUGGGGAGCAAACAGGAUUAGAAACCCUAGUAGUCC
Molecule: ribosomal RNA, 274 nt
Filed under: uncultured bacterium
Lineage: Bacteria
Description: partial 16S ribosomal RNA
Rfam family: Bacterial small subunit ribosomal RNA
Source: RNAcentral